AUUGAACGCUGGCGGCAGGCUUAACACAUGCAAGUCGAGCGGGGGAAGGUAGCUUGCUACCGGACCUAGCGGCGGACGGGUGAGUAAUGCUUAGGAAUCUGCCUAUUAGUGGGGGACAACAUCUCGAAAGGGAUGCUAAUACCGCAUACGUCCUACGGGAGAAAGCAGGGGAUCUUCGGACCUUGCGCUAAUAGAUGAGCCUAAGUCGGAUUAGCUAGUUGGUGGGGUAAAGGCCUACCAAGGCGACGAUCUGUAGCGGGUCUGAGAGGAUGAUCCGCCACACUGGGACUGAGACACGGCCCAGACUCCUACGGGAGGCAGCAGUGGGGAAUAUUGGACAAUGGGGGGAACCCUGAUCCAGCCAUGCCGCGUGUGUGAAGAAGGCCUUAUGGUUGUAAAGCACUUUAAGCGAGGAGGAGGCCACUUUAGUUAAUACCUAGAGAUAGUGGACGUUACUCGCAGAAUAAGCACCGGCUAACUCUGUG
RNAcentral lists this ribosomal RNA (485 nucleotides) under uncultured bacterium. RNAcentral describes it as "partial 16S ribosomal RNA". It matches the Rfam family "Bacterial small subunit ribosomal RNA", at positions 30 to 507 of the family's 1533-position model. The record is from RNAcentral.